AACGCACCUUGCGCUCCUUGGCAUUCCGAGGAGCAUGCCUGUUUGAGUGUCAUUAAAUCUUCAACUCCAUCCUUCUUGUUGGAGGGUGGUAGGUUGGAUCUGGGAGCUGCUGGCUGUAUGGUCAGCUCUUCUGAAAUAGAUUAGCAGGUGAAACCCUCCAUGUGUGUGGGCUGCAGCUUGGUAUUGAUAGUUGUCGUACCAGUUGACAGGCUAGCUACAUGUGUGCUUCCUGCUCAAAGCCGUCUCAGCCAGAGACAAAUUUGACGAUUUGACCUCAAAUCAGGUAGGACUACCCGCUGAACUUAA
This 306-nucleotide unclassified non-coding RNA is filed under the name uncultured fungus. RNAcentral's name for it is "partial contains 5.8S ribosomal RNA, internal transcribed spacer 2, and large subunit ribosomal RNA". The stretch from base 1 to 52 matches the Rfam family "5.8S ribosomal RNA", at positions 103 to 154 of the family's 154-position model. The record is from RNAcentral. Lineage: Eukaryota; Fungi.